Molecule: long non-coding RNA, 2855 nt
Organism: Anas platyrhynchos (mallard)
Lineage: Eukaryota; Metazoa; Chordata; Aves; Anseriformes; Anatidae
Source: RefSeq, a predicted model, not a curated record
UCAAGCUUGUCUUUCAGUAUCUUGCAGACUGUAAGAACAGGUAUGGUAAUGAGAAAAUCCAUGCUGUAAGUGGUGUGGAAAACUUGGUCAAGGCUUUUAAGGGAAUGAGAAUGCUGUUUAUUGUGUGGGAAAUAAGAGCUACCUGUUCCAGGUAGAAAAAGCAUGAAAACUCUGUGUGUGAUGAUUCCUUUUUGGUGAUGUGGCUACCACCCAGUAGGAAUUUGUCUGAGGAAAGGACUGUUGGUUGUGCCUCCCCAAAAUUGCUGUUGGUACUCUACAAGAAGUGUCAGGGCUCAGAACAGGUAGGACUGGUAUGCUGCUGGAUUAGCAUGGACGUUCAUCACCUCUGCUAAUGGCAGAUAAUCUUCCAGAAUAUGGUUUGCUCUCACUUUGCCUCAAUACUCCAUGCCCCACAAUGACUUUCUGCUGUAUGGGACCCUUAUUAGGCCAUGGCUGAGUCUGUCCCAUGGAUUCUGGAAAUGGGGAAGCAGCACAAAGAAAAGUGUAAACCAGAGAGGGAAUUUGUAAUCAAACAAACAAGCCAAAGGUAGAUUGGGGUAGUAGUGGGAAUAGAAAGACACAUUCUGAACAGAAAAGCUGAAAUCAAGGAGCUUAGAUCUGAUGUGGCAAAAGAAAGGAAGCCAGAAAAGACAAUUUUAAGGAUGACCCAGAUGGAGUAUGAGCCUAUUAUUUUAGUGUACUUCACAAUAACUAAUCUUUCUGUGCCAGGUUUUGGCCCCUCUAACAGUUGUCUCUGUGCUGCUCCAGUCAUGCAAAUCUGCACUAAAGGUGAAAUAAUGAGCAGGUGAAACUCAGUGAUUGAGCUAGUGAUGGCAAUACUUGAAGAGGAACCUCCUUUAUGUAAUUCUGCUUACAAGAGAAAAGGAACUUGCUAGGCAGUGCUAGGCAGCAAAGCCCAUCAUGCAUGCUUGUGCACAUCCAACAAAGUUACUGAUUUCCCUGUUUGCAGUGGUCAUGGGAUAGGAAGAACACUGAGCUGAACAUCACAGCAACCAUCUCACUCUCAAUAGAAGGGAGCACUUUGCAUGGGGAAGGUUUUCUGUGAGUUACCAACACCCAGUUCAACUCUGCUGUUAACAACAACAAGCUUCUGUGAGUGGGGAACCUUUGCUGGCAAUUAUUCCAAAUUCUAUCUCCAAAUACUCUUGCAUAAAGAUGAAGGAACAAGCAUUUUUUCCACACCUUGGCAUUGCCCAGAUAGCUAUCUCCUCCCUUACUCAUUCUUCUUAUGCUCCAGCUUACUUGAAACGAGAACACAUAUCACACACAAAAAGCCUGCAGAAAAACUGCAAUGGCUAUGGACUCGAGUGCUCAAAAAGUUAGGAAAUCCGGGAUUAAAGUUACCCAGGCAACGUUUGUGCAGAUGGGUUAUGAUGCAGCCUUCAUUUCCAAGUGCACAGACUGUUUCCUCAGGGUGCUCCCUGGCUCCACGGGCAGGAGGGAACCGCUCUGAGGCUGUGAAAGCAUCAAAACAGUUCUCUGCAUUAGCCCCUGCCUCGUGCGUUAAGGAAAGCAGGUAGCACAGAAGGAUUAUUUUUAAUAUAAAUCAUUUUCCCAAUCCUGUUUGCAGAACAGCCCUGCAAAACAGUGUGUGGAUGUGCUGCAGGGCAAGGGUAGGAAGGUGUGGGCUCUGGUGGCAGGGUGCAAGUCUUUGGAGCAAUGCUACAGCUGGAGCCCCAGAAGGUUGAACCACAGCCGGCUUGCAAAGGGACUGAGAGCUCACAACUGCAGCUGGGUUUUGUGCUUGGAAUAUAAAGUGCUGCAGCAUGCUAGGAACUGUGAAAACCCAAGUCCUUGUCAUUCUGUAUCAGGUACUCCAAAUCUUUUGCCUCUACUGUUUUCAGUAGGCAGCCUCUUGUCUACAAGAUACACGAUACCCACGGCAGUGCUGUGAAAACAAAUUUGCUGAUGUUUCUGAAGCAGCUAGAUAUGGUAUCUCACCGAAAGCCUUGAACUCAAAGUGGGUUUUAGUAAUUCUGCUCUCGGAGCGUGGUUUAAAUCCUGUGUACUAAAGACGAUCCAGGUCUAUCUACUGAGCAGAAGGAUAAAACAAAGCAUGAGAUGCUAAUUUGCUAAUUGAAGAAAGGAGGCAGGAAUCCUGUGAGAGAAACGAUCUACCUUGCAGGUCUCACACAAGGGAAAUUAAAACUUUAGAAGCAGCCUUUGUAAGGGCCUUUCCUGCAAUUGUAGCAGUAGUUCAGAAGUUCUUGUGCUCACGCUAUACGUUCACAGUCAUCUUUUGUAGCCUACGAGUCCCUGCUGACCUGAAAUUUUCUCUACAGAUAACAUUUUAUUGUUUUAACUAAUAGUCAGCCAUAAACUCAAUUAAACCAGAGCAAAUCUUGUGUACAGAUAUCUUGUUUUGGAAUAAGUUGUUUAUUUGAUUUGGCUGCCUUUGGUGUGUUUGUACAGGAUUGAAUUAUGAAAUACGAAAGUCUCAAACAUCUCCCCUCAACUUUAUAUUCUACAAACUCUUCUUGAUGGCUUACUAGCACAUUCCCAAGGAGACAGCAGUGCCUCCGGACAUCAGAUUCAUCACAGACUGUAGGGCAAAUGUUAUGGGUGGGAGAACAUUGGCAGCACAUCAGCGCAGGAGCGCCAAGCAGUGCUCACUAACAGACAUUCCUGUGAAGCUCCAUCACCAUUAUCCCCAUUACACGGAUUGGGAUUUGAAGCACGGCGAGAUGAAGCUGCCACACAGGUUGGCUGUGUCACAGCGAGGAGAGGAACCUGCAUUUUCCUCCGAUUGCUUUGCAACCUUGAUCACUGCUAGCAACACCCAUCACGACGCUUUUGUACACCUAUGCUCCAAAUAAAGACCUGUGUUUCCAUAA